GUGUCAGGUAAAAACGCUUGCUUUUUGUACAGUGUUUAACAGCAAGUUUAAUUUCAGAAUCAUAACACUGUAGCUUAUUUGAAAUCCUCUUUGUUUAUACUUUCCUCCCAAUGCUUGCUCACUUGUAACUGGCUCAUGUUAGUCACGCACACUCACCCCAGAGAAAAUAUGUACUCAGAUUGCUAAACAUGGCUGGAAAACACUUUUUUCUUGCCUUUUUUUUUUUUUUUUUGGCCAGUAAAAUGUUCCCAGUCAUCUUUGGCUCUUGUACUUUCCUCAAUGGUCUUUUACAGUUUUCCCAAGAACACAACCACCUGGGAAGGCAAAGGAGAGGGUUCAACUCGGAGAUCAUGGAGCAAUUCACCCAUUUCCGGGAACAUCGACAACCCAGGAGGCAGCCCCUGGCGAGGAGAGCACCUUUCCGGAAGAUGCGUUCCUGAGCUUAGAACAGGCUGUUACUGUGGUUCUCACGACCCUCCUGUAAGAUGUCACAGCAUGCCAAGACAUAGGCUCCUUCUCUUGCAUGAGGCAGCUUCCACAGACAGAUGUGCAUGAAACAAUGAGGUGCAUUGAGCCGUCC
RNAcentral lists this long non-coding RNA (580 nucleotides) under Ictidomys tridecemlineatus (thirteen-lined ground squirrel). RNAcentral describes it as "lncRNA (ENSSTOG00000034906.1)". Lineage: Eukaryota; Metazoa; Chordata; Mammalia; Rodentia; Sciuridae. The record is from RNAcentral.